Molecule: ribosomal RNA, 604 nt
Filed under: Saccharomyces cerevisiae (brewer's yeast)
Lineage: Eukaryota; Fungi; Ascomycota; Saccharomycetes; Saccharomycetales; Saccharomycetaceae
Description: partial large subunit ribosomal RNA
Rfam family: Eukaryotic large subunit ribosomal RNA
Source: RNAcentral
UGCAUAUCAAUAAGCGGAGGAAAAGAAACCAACCGGGAUUGCCUUAGUAACGGCGAGUGAAGCGGCAAAAGCUCAAAUUUGAAAUCUGGUACCUUCGGUGCCCGAGUUGUAAUUUGGAGAGGGCAACUUUGGGGCCGUUCCUUGUCUAUGUUCCUUGGAACAGGACGUCAUAGAGGGUGAGAAUCCCGUGUGGCGAGGAGUGCGGUUCUUUGUAAAGUGCCUUCGAAGAGUCGAGUUGUUUGGGAAUGCAGCUCUAAGUGGGUGGUAAAUUCCAUCUAAAGCUAAAUAUUGGCGAGAGACCGAUAGCGAACAAGUACAGUGAUGGAAAGAUGAAAAGAACUUUGAAAAGAGAGUGAAAAAGUACGUGAAAUUGUUGAAAGGGAAGGGCAUUUGAUCAGACAUGGUGUUUUGUGCCCUCUGCUCCUUGUGGGUAGGGGAAUCUCGCAUUUCACUGGGCCAGCAUCAGUUUUGGUGGCAGGAUAAAUCCAUAGGAAUGUAGCUUGCCUCGGUAAGUAUUAUAGCCUGUGGGAAUACUGCCAGCUGGGACUGAGGACUGCGACGUAAGUCAAGGAUGCUGGCAUAAUGGUUAUAUGCCGCCCGUCUU